RNAcentral lists this transfer RNA (68 nucleotides) under Trichosia splendens. RNAcentral describes it as "tRNA-Thr". Lineage: Eukaryota; Metazoa; Arthropoda; Insecta; Diptera; Sciaridae. The record is from RNAcentral.
GUUUUAAUAAGUUAAAUAAACUAUUGGUCUUGUAAAUCAAAAAUAAAUAAAAUUUAAUUUUUAAAACU